AUACGUAGGUGACCAGCGUUAUCCGGAUUUAUUGGGUUUAAAGGGCGCGCAGGCGGGAGAUUAAGUCGGCGGUGAAAUUUUGCAGCUCCACUGGAAAAGGGCCUUCGAAACUGGGUUUCUUGAGUGCAGAUGAAGUAGGCGGGAUUUGUGGUGUAGCGGUGAAAUGCAUAGAUAUCUCGAGUCACUCCGAUUGCGCAGGCAGCUUUCUAAACUACUGCUGACGCUCAGGCACUAAGGCGUGGGGAUCAAACAGGAUUAGAUACCCUUGUAGUCCACGCAGUAAGCGAUGAUUACUCGCUGUUUGCGAUACACAGCAAGCGGCUUAGCGAAAGCGUUAAGUAAUCCCCCUGGGGAGUACGUUCUCAAGAAUGCAACUCAAAGGAAUUGACGUGG
RNAcentral lists this ribosomal RNA (393 nucleotides) under uncultured bacterium. RNAcentral describes it as "partial 16S ribosomal RNA". It matches the Rfam family "Bacterial small subunit ribosomal RNA", at positions 523 to 918 of the family's 1533-position model. The record is from RNAcentral.